UACGUAGGGGGCUAGCGUUGUCCGGAAUCAUUGGGCGUAAAGCGCGUGUAGGCGGUCCGGUAAGUCCGCUGUGAAAGUCGGGGGCUCAACCCUCGAAAGCCGGUGGAUACUGUCGGGCUAGAGUGCGGAAGAGGCGAGUGGAAUUCCUGGUGUAGCGGUGAAAUGCGCAGAUAUCAGGAGGAACACCUGCGGCGAAGGCGGGUUGCUGGGCCGACACUGACGCUGAUGCGCGAAAGCUAGGGGAGCGAACGGG
RNAcentral lists this ribosomal RNA (253 nucleotides) under uncultured bacterium. RNAcentral's name for it is "partial 16S ribosomal RNA". It matches the Rfam family "Bacterial small subunit ribosomal RNA", at positions 524 to 776 of the family's 1533-position model. The record is from RNAcentral.